RNAcentral lists this long non-coding RNA (950 nucleotides) under Canis lupus dingo (dingo). RNAcentral describes it as "lncRNA (ENSCAFG00020008852.1)". Lineage: Eukaryota; Metazoa; Chordata; Mammalia; Carnivora; Canidae. The record is from RNAcentral.
GGGGGGUUUCCUGGUCAGGGGGGAGCCAGCUUCUCCUCUCCUGCUCUUCCUGCUAGUGCUCUCACUCUCUCUCAAAUAAUCUUUAAAAAAUUAAAAAAAAAAAAACAAAACUGUAGCUCUGCCAUUUGCUAAUUCUGUGAGUUUGAACUGAACAAUUUUAUUGAAAAUGUUCAACUAUAAAAAUGUAAUAUAGGAUUUCUGAGAAGAUUAAGCAAGAUAAUACUGGUAAAAAUUGUAAUACAGAGUGCUUAGCUCAUGAUGGGCAUUUGCUUAGCAGUACCUAUUAACCUCUAAAGAGCUAUUCAAAUAAUGAUUUAAAAAGCUGGAAAUAGGAGGUAAUAUGAGCAACUAUUAUUUUAAUUUAGAUGUGUGAGAUGGCAGCUAGGAUAUUCAACAUUUGUUCAUGUCUGCUAUAUGCCAAGUAUACUUGCACAGUUUGCUAUGCAUAGUUUGAUAGUUUUUAACAUGAAAUCAGGUGCAUUAAAUUAUCACAACAACCCCAUGAAUUUAGUGCUACUAUACUCUCAUUUUUACGGAAGACGAAACUGGGACACUGAAAAGGCAAGAGACGAAACAAACUUGGAAUUCAGGCAGAGAGCUACAACAAAACCAGAGAGGAAAAGUAGCCAAUCAGAGUUUCACUGGAGGGACGUGGGGAAAGUCAAGGAAGAGUAAGAGAGAGGAUCCCAGGCAGGCUCCAUGCCCAGUACAGAGCCUGACGUGGGGCUCAAUCUCCAACCCCAAGACCAUGAACUGAACAGAAACCAAGUGUCGGAUAGUUAACCAACUGAGCCACCCAGGCGCAUUGCCCUGCCCCACCUGUGAGUAGAUUCGUAAUAUAGCUUUGGAAUCUUACUAUAUUUCCCUAUAACAUCCUCAAAUUUCCGUAUACAUCAGAAUGACCAGGGCCUGUUAAUAAAACGCAGUUGAAACUCUGGUAUCGGGAUCCC